RNAcentral lists this ribosomal RNA (88 nucleotides) under Podospora anserina S mat+. The record is from RNAcentral. Lineage: Eukaryota; Fungi; Ascomycota; Sordariomycetes; Sordariales; Podosporaceae.
UCACAUACGACCAUAACCAACUGAAAGCUCGGGAUCCCGUCCGCUCUCCCCUAGAUAAGCAGUUGAGUGCCGAACUAGUACUCAGGUG